RNAcentral lists this ribosomal RNA (253 nucleotides) under uncultured bacterium. RNAcentral describes it as "partial 16S ribosomal RNA". It matches the Rfam family "Bacterial small subunit ribosomal RNA", at positions 524 to 776 of the family's 1533-position model. The record is from RNAcentral.
UACGGGGGGGGCAAGCGUUGUUCGGAAUUACUGGGCGUAAAGGGCUCGUAGGCGGCCAACUAAGUCGGAUGUGAAAUCCCCAGGCUUAACCUGGGAACUGCAUCCGAUACUGGAUGGCUUGAAUUCGGGAGAGGGAUGCAGAAUUCCAGGUGUAGCGGUGAAAUGCGUAGAGAUCCGGAAGAACACCGGUGGCGAAGGCGGCCUGCUGGGCUAUGGCUGACACUGAGGCGCGACAGCGUGGGGAGCAAACAGG